AAUUUGAACAUUUCAUUUCAGGAUUUGGGGGAUCCUUACCAGGUUGAAAAUUUUAACAGAAUUCUUAGAAGACUAAUUCGAGUUGAAACCCCCUGGGAUUGCUAGAGAACCCUUUUUACAGGGAGCUGCUAUUUGCUUCAGCAGGCAGAAUGCGUAGGUGGAGUGAGUUUGGUGGCAGUGAGAGGGGCCAACAGAGGUCCUCAGGAGUGAAUUAGAUGAAGGAAAUUGAGCAUCCACAAAAAGGAAAGAGUAUUCUCCUGUUUGCCAAACUUAAAAAUGCUGGAUGGAAUCUUGAAGCUACCAGAAGAUUGCUUAUCACCAGAAACCAAUAUUUUUUCAAAAAUAUGCCUUGUAUCCUAAUGCAGUCUGUAUAGAAAGAAAGCAAUCAUCAUUUUUGCUAAAAGCUAAUAAACACAGGACAUGCAUGAUUAAA
RNAcentral lists this small RNA (433 nucleotides) under Pan troglodytes (chimpanzee). RNAcentral describes it as "processed transcript". The record is from RNAcentral. Lineage: Eukaryota; Metazoa; Chordata; Mammalia; Primates; Hominidae.